RNAcentral lists this ribosomal RNA (505 nucleotides) under Ascochyta medicaginicola. Its description in RNAcentral is "eukaryotic LSU rRNA". The stretch from base 146 to 299 matches the Rfam family "5.8S ribosomal RNA". Lineage: Eukaryota; Fungi; Ascomycota; Dothideomycetes; Pleosporales; Didymellaceae. The record is from RNAcentral.
CGGGCUUCCUAGAGUGUAGGCUUUGCCUGCUAUCUCUUACCCAUGUCUUUUGAGUACCUUCGUUUCCUCGGCGGGUCCGCCCGCCGACUGGACAAUUUAAACCAUUUGCAGUUGCAAUCAGCGUCUGAAAAAACUUAAUAAUUACAACUUUCAACAACGGAUCUCUUGGUUCUGGCAUCGAUGAAGAACGCAGCGAAAUGCGAUAAGUAGUGUGAAUUGCAGAAUUCAGUGAAUCAUCGAAUCUUUGAACGCACAUUGCGCCCCUUGGUAUUCCAUGGGGCAUGCCUGUUCGAGCGUCAUUUGUACCUUCAAGCUUUGCUUGGUGUUGGGUGUUUGUCUCGCCUCCGCGUGUAGACUCGCCUCAAAACAAUUGGCAGCCGGCGUAUUGAUUUCGGAGCGCAGUACAUCUCGCGCUUUGCACUCAUAACGACGACGUCCAAAAGUACAUUUUUACACUCUUGACCUCGGAUCAGGUAGGGAUACCCGCUGAACUUAAGCAUAUCAU